AGGAAGUUGAAUACGUUCCCUUGCUGUAGGUGGCUUAGAAACAGGUGGCGGCUGAAGUACGGGAGGUGGGGGUGGAAGUUGUUGCCUGAGGCCAUGCUGACGCGCUGAGGGUGGUGUCUGAACGGGAGAUGAUGCCGCAGGAACAGAUGGACCAGCACUAACUGGUGUGGCUGGAGAUUGGGGUGGGGCAUCUACCCGUGACUUCACUUCUUGGGGAUCAACAUACUCAGCCACUAGGAGGCGCCCUCCAUUUGGAGGCCAUUGAAGAUUGUAGAGA
Molecule: long non-coding RNA, 277 nt
Filed under: Vitis vinifera (wine grape)
Lineage: Eukaryota; Viridiplantae; Streptophyta; Magnoliopsida; Vitales; Vitaceae
Description: long non-coding RNA (VVIN_LNC005928)
Source: RNAcentral